This 554-nucleotide unclassified non-coding RNA is filed under the name Drosophila mojavensis. RNAcentral's name for it is "GI17439". Lineage: Eukaryota; Metazoa; Arthropoda; Insecta; Diptera; Drosophilidae. The record is from RNAcentral.
CUUUAUGGCAUAGCACAACAAAUUUCAUACACAAUUAUUUGGACUGCCGCUCCAUAAACAUCUACAUGUACUUGGGUGUUUGUGUGAUACUUUUUGAUUGUCCGUAAGCAUGUUUUAGUCUUUUGAGUAGUUAAACAUUUGUGAGAUCGUUUUUGUGUGAAUCCCGAAGAGAUGUUUUAACGCUCGAAUCAAUACGCGCACAAUUCGAUAGCAAAUAUGCCGUAUGCCUAGUUAUGUGAAGUGGUUCCUCGAUGGGCUGUGUUGCAGUCCGUGUUCCAGUUCGUGCUGCAGCUUGUGUUGCAGCCCCUGCAGCAAUCCCAUCUAUAUGUGUUCUUGCAGUCCGUGUUGCAACGCGUGCUGCAGCCCCUGCUGUACCACGUGCUGCUCACAAUGCUGCUGUUAUCCAUGCUAAUGCAGGAGGCUCGAGGAGUACUCACACCCUGCCAUGAAGAUAUACUUCACAAUCAUAUGUGUAGAUACUCGCGUAAGAUUACGACAUUGGACUUGAACAAUGCUAACUGAACAUAUAUGGACAUAUAACUAAAAAUUCUUUU